This is a long non-coding RNA of Zingiber officinale, 1232 nucleotides long. RefSeq lists it as uncharacterized. Lineage: Eukaryota; Viridiplantae; Streptophyta; Magnoliopsida; Zingiberales; Zingiberaceae. The record is from RefSeq and is a predicted model, not a curated record. The transcript has 9 exons.
UUGGCAGCUAGUGGCUUUCUCCAGACAGCUCUUGAUUUUGUUUGGACUGUCCAUAGAUUUCCUUCCUCUUCCAAUUUCCUAUCUUGAAUAAUUGCAGGAGCAUCUACUUUGAGAGCAAUAGAGGCAAUUGUUACUUAACCUGAAAUCAGACAUUGCAGUAAAUCUUCUAAACCAUAUCAAGAGUCUACCAAGGAGAAGUGUCGUUCACAAAUAGCUCAAGGUGCAAGGCUUUGAAAUUGAAUAAGAUGCAUUCACCUGGUUGCAAGGCUGAUAUGCUCCAUUUAGAUAAUGCUUUCCAAAGUGGAACAUGGAAAGACAAUUAUGCUCAGAACAAAAAGGCGUCUAAGUUGUGCAACCUUCUUCUAAAAGCUGUAUGGAAUGCUCCUGCAUUAGGUGGCUCAUCAUGCAUUAUAUAUCCAUAUUGUUUACAAUAAAAUCAUAUUCGCUGACGAGAAGAGGAUUACAUUAGUGACCUGUAAGUAUCCAUCAUGGGUACCAUUGAGUUUUUAUGUUUAAAGUUUUAUUUAUGAUAGACAACCUAUUUUGUUUUAUUUAUGACGAGAGAGAUGCACUUAUUAUGCCUAAGAAUUCUGGAAUUCUUCCAAUGGUCCUAGUAGCCAUUAUUCUUGUUGGCCAGCAAGAGAUACAACAACAAAUUCCAAGGAUUCACAAGAUGACCUCUUCUGGUCCAAGAUAUCAAGAGAUGAAUACAUGAGAUAUGCAUUCGAGGAGUGUUAUAUAUAUAUCAUAGUAUUAAAGUUAUUUUGAUGUUGGUACUUGGACAUCUGUUAACUUUUUUUUAGGUGGAGAGAAUCUACAAGGGUAUACAUAUUAGUAAAAAGAAACAUACAAGCUUCAGGUUAACCAAGUUACAGUUCGUGACGUCCAGAAUUUUUUGCUUUAACUGCUUGAGCUGUGUAAAAAGAGACAAAUUUAUCUAGUGGUGACAACAUCCAAAAUGGAGACAACAUCCAAAAUGGAGAAGUAGUGACAAAGUGCAAGUGGUAGCGACAUUCCAAGAUAGUUGUACAAGCAUCAAAUCUAGAGGAGGGCACUUUGAUAGCUCAUUCAUAAGGUUGUUUACUGCUAGCAUGCUUAGUGGGGAGAAACUUACCCAAACAUUGCCCCCCUGCUACGAAAAGUACUACUGCAAAGCCAUGUAUGAAAACAACAGAUGGGGUGGGACAAUUCAAGGAUUUUGUUGAGAUUGGAAGAUGUUGAGGUAAUUUGUC